GAUGAACGCUGGCGGCGUGCCUAAUACAUGCAAGUCGAGCGAACAGACGAGGAGCUUGCUCCUCUGACGUUAGCGGCGGACGGGUGAGUAACACGUGGAUAACCUACCUAUAAGACUGGGAUAACUUCGGGAAACCGGAGCUAAUACCGGAUAAUAUAUUGAACCGCAUGGUUCAAUAGUGAAAGACGGUUUUGCUGUCACUUAUAGAUGGAUCCGCGCCGCAUUAGCUAGUUGGUAAGGUAACGGCUUACCAAGGCAACGAUGCGUAGCCGACCUGAGAGGGUGAUCAGCCACACUGGAACUGAGAAACGGUCCAGACUCCUACGGGAGGCAGCAGUGGGGAAUAUUGCCCAAUGGGGGAAAGCCUGAUCGAGCCAUACCGCGUGGGGGAAGAAGGUCUUCGGGUUGUAAAACCCUUUUUUUUGGGAAGAAAAGAAGGUGGAUAAUACCAGGCUGUUCUGAGGGUACCCAAAGAAAAAGCCCAGGCUAACUUAGUG
Molecule: ribosomal RNA, 497 nt
Filed under: uncultured bacterium
Lineage: Bacteria
Description: partial 16S ribosomal RNA
Rfam family: Bacterial small subunit ribosomal RNA
Source: RNAcentral